AACGAACGCUGGCGGCAUGCCUACCACAUGCAAGUCGAACGAGACCUUCGGGUCUAGUGGCGCACGGGUGCGUAACGCGUGGGAACCUGCCCUUAGGUUCGGAAUAACUCCCCGAAAGGGGUGCUAAUACCGGAUAAUGUCUUCGGACCAAAGAUUUAUCGCCUUUGGAUGGGCCCGCGUUGGAUUAGCUAGUUGGUAGGGUAAAAGCCUACCAAGGCGACGAUCCAUAGCUGGUCUGAGAGGAUGAUCAGCCACACUGGGACUGAGACACGGCCCAGACUCCUACGGGAGGCAGCAGUGGGGAAUAUUGGACAAUGGGCGAAAGCCUGAUCCAGCAAUGCCGCGUGAGUGAUGAAGGCCUUAGGGUUGUAAAGCUCUUUUACCCGGGAUGAUAAUGACAGUACCGGGAGAAUAAGCUCCGGCUAACUCCGUG
RNAcentral lists this ribosomal RNA (433 nucleotides) under uncultured bacterium. RNAcentral's name for it is "partial 16S ribosomal RNA". It matches the Rfam family "Bacterial small subunit ribosomal RNA", at positions 29 to 507 of the family's 1533-position model. The record is from RNAcentral.